CCCUUAGAUGUUCUGGGCCGCACGCGCGCUACAAUGAUGCAUUCAACGAGUUUCUUCCUGGUCCGAGAGGAAUGGGUAACCUUUUGAAAGUGCAUCGUGAUAGGGAUAGACUAUUGCAAUUAUUGGUCUUCAACGAGGAAUUCCUAGUAGACGUAGUUCAUCAGACUGCAUCGAUUACGUCCCUGCCCUUUGUACACACCGCCCGUCGCUCCUACCGAUUGAAUGCUCAGGUGAGCCAUUCGGACUUUCAUCAUGCUGGUUUCCAGUUUUGAUGAAGGAAAGUCUUGCGAACCUUAUCAUUUAGAGGAAGGAGAAGUCGUAACA
RNAcentral lists this ribosomal RNA (324 nucleotides) under uncultured eukaryote. RNAcentral describes it as "partial 18S ribosomal RNA". It matches the Rfam family "Eukaryotic small subunit ribosomal RNA", at positions 1470 to 1796 of the family's 1831-position model. The record is from RNAcentral.